UACGUAGGUGGCAAGCGUUAUCCGGAUUUAUUGGGCGUAAAGAGAACGCAGGCGGUCUUUUAAGUCUGAUGUGAAAGCCUUCGGCUUAACCGGAGUAGUGCAUUGGAAACUGGGAGACUUGAGUGCGGAAGAGGAGAGUGGAACUCCAUGUGUAGCGGUGAAAUGCGUAGAUAUAUGGAAGAACACCAGUGGCGAAAGCGGCUCUCUGGUCUGUAACUGACGCUGAGGUUCGAAAGCGUGGGUAGCAAACAGG
Molecule: ribosomal RNA, 253 nt
Filed under: uncultured bacterium
Lineage: Bacteria
Description: partial 16S ribosomal RNA
Rfam family: Bacterial small subunit ribosomal RNA
Source: RNAcentral